Molecule: ribosomal RNA, 253 nt
Filed under: uncultured bacterium
Lineage: Bacteria
Description: partial 16S ribosomal RNA
Rfam family: Bacterial small subunit ribosomal RNA
Source: RNAcentral
UACGAAGGGGGCUAGCGUUGUUCGGAAUUACUGGGCGUAAAGCGCACGCAGGCGGUGCGAUCAGUCAGAAGUGAAAGCCCCGGGCUCAACCUGGGAACUGCUUUUGAUACUGUCGCGCUUGAAUCACGGAGAGGGUAGUGGAAUUCCGAGUGUAGAGGUGAAAUUCGUAGAUAUUCGGAAGAACACCAGUGGCGAAGGCGACUACCUGGCCGUCGAUUGACGCUCAUGUGCGAAAGCGUGGGGAGCAAACAGG